UCCCCCUCCUGCCGGAGGCGUGUCCCCGAAACCCCGAGGCUUGAGCGCUUCGCCCCGUGGUCCGGGUUCCGGGCCUCGCGGAGGCCGAGCCUGCCCAGCGCCGAGCGGGGGCGCCGCGACCUCGGUCCCGCCCGGGCCACCUGCGGGGCUCCGCGCCUCCGGGGCUGUCCCGGCGGGGGUCGGUCGGGGCGCCCUGCCAGCUCCGCCUCCUCCGGGGCGCCCUCUCCGCUUUCGCUUUCUGUUCCCGGGUCGGGGAGGCGGGCGCGGCGGCGCGAGGGCCAGCGGGGCAGCGGCGGGCCCCCAGGUACGGCGGGUGCGACCCCGGGGCCCCCGCCGGCCCCCCGACCCCCGGCCGCGCUGCGGGGCUCGAGAGGGGCUCGAGAGGGGCUCGGCGCCGGCCACCUGCUGGUGCCCGCGGGGGCGGCCGGGGAGCCGGGGCGCGCGGCGGAGGCGAGCGAGGCGCGGAGGGCUGGGCUGGGCGGGCCUGGGGGCGCUGGAGGGGCCGUGGGACCUGGGCCCGAGUCCGCAGGGACGCGGGGGGGGGGCGGCCGGGGGGCGGGGGCGCGGGGGCGCAGGGUCAGCGCGCCUCUUCCCGGCAGGCGGGAGCGGCCCCCUCCGAGCGCCUCGCCGCUGGUUUCCCCCCCACCACGGCUUCCUCUCCCGCCCUCCGGCUACCCCCCUGGUCCCCCAAGCCCCACCCUCGGCCCCUCCGGCUCCUCCCCAGGCCCCCCCACCUCCCCAGCCCCCCCCGGCUCCUCCCCCAACCCCCCCUUAGGCCCCCCCUUGGCUCCCCCGGCUCCUCCCCAGGCCCCUCCACCUCCCCAGCACCCCCCCCGGCUCCUCCCCCGACCCCUCCUCAGGCCCCCCCCUCGGCUCCCCCGGCUCCUCCCCAGGCCCCCCCCACCUCCCCAGGCCCGCCCUCCGCUCCACCCUAGGCCCCCCGGCUCCUCCCCCGACUCCUCCGCAGGCACCCCCCUCGGCUUCCCUGGCUCCUCCCCAGGCCCCCCCCACCUCCCCAGGCCCCCCCCACCUCCCCAGGCCCCCCUCACCUCCCCAGCCCCCCCCCGGCUCCUCCCCCGACCCCUCCUCAGGCCCUCCCCUCGGCUUCCCUGGCUCCUCCCCAGGCCCCCCCCACCUCUCCAGCCCCCUCCCGGCUCCUCCCCCGACCCCUCCGCAGGCACCCCCAUCUCCCCAGCCCCUCCCGCUCCACCCCAGCCCCCCCCCGGCUCCUCCCCCGACCCCUCCCCAGGCCCCCCUCCGCUCCACCCCAGCCCCCCCCCAGGCUCCUCCCCCGGCCGCCCCACCGCUCCCUCCUCGGCCCCCCCCGUCCCUCCCCAGCCGCCCCCCCCCCGCUCCCCCCUCGGCCCCCUCCUCCCUCUGGCCCCACCCCCGGCCUCCGCGCAGCGCCAGAUGUGGGCUGGGGGGGUGCCGCGGGUGGGGGUGGGGGUGCCUUGGGCGGGAUGGUUGCGGGAGAAAGCAGGUGCCGGGCUGAGCUGGACGGUGCUGAGGGACGGGAGGCAGAAGGCGCCCCGACGGGCCUCUCCUUGCCUCUGCGUCCUGGUUCCCAGCGCCUCCCCCGUCCGCUCCGCUCCCCUUGGGGUCUUACCCCAAGCAGGUUCCCCGGUUGAGCAACUUCCAGUCCCUGCGGGGCCGGCGCCUUGCCCGCCGGGGUGGGGGUGGGGGUGGGGGGUGGCCCUGCAGGGUGACUUCUCGGAGGGAGAGGCCUGGACGCUUCCUUAG
RNAcentral lists this long non-coding RNA (1740 nucleotides) under Canis lupus familiaris (dog). RNAcentral's name for it is "lncRNA (ENSCAFG00030015324.1)". The record is from RNAcentral. Lineage: Eukaryota; Metazoa; Chordata; Mammalia; Carnivora; Canidae.